UCGCCUGCCUUCGGAGCGUUCGCGAUCGAGAUUGCGAUCGCCAGCAGUGGCGGAGAGCCCCUCUUGAGUCCCCUCGCAGUCGGAAUCGAAGCUUUAUGGUGGAUUCCCUGGCGAAUUAGAUGAGCUCGUCAGAAUCCCCUUAUGGAGUCCUCCCGACCGACAUCGUCACACAGAUCCUCGCGCGGCUGCCCGUCUAUUCCCUCUUCCGAUGCAGGUCCGUCUGCAAGCUGUGGAACCGAUUGCCCUUUGAGAAGCACUUCGUCGACCUCUACUUCCGGAUCGGCCCCAAAGACCCCAUCUUGCUGUUGGAAUUCCCCGAGUCCAGCGCCUUCCUCUCGGUCGACCGAUUUCGAGGGGUCUCGGCCUUCUCCCUGGGAUUCUUGAACGAUAAGGUCAAGAUCAGGGCCUCCUGCAAUGGCUUGCUGUGCUGCUCCAGCGUUCGGAAUCGUGGCGUUUACUACGUCUGCAAUCCGGUCACCCGAGAGUUCCGUGUGCUGCCGAGAGCGAGGGAGAGGCCCCUCACUCGGUGCCAACCGGAGUACGAGGCUACCCUCGUCGGCUUGGCGUUUGAUCCCGUCUCUUGGAAGUUUAAUGUUGUUCUUGCUGGAUUCCAUCGUUUUUUUGGUCACCGGCCUCAUGGCGAGUUCGUCUCCCUGGUGUUCGAUUCGGAAACCAAUUCUUGGAGUCGAUCGGUUUCGUUGAUGCACGACGAGUUCACCCACAUGAAUCGCUGCCAAGUUGUGUUUUCUUGUGGCUUACUGCAUUGGUUGACGCAUAGCUGUUCUUAUGUGCUUGCUUUUGAUUUGAAAAGUGGAGUUUGGGGGAAAAUCUUGCUGCCCGAUGAAGUGCUGACGACAAGGUCUGGAUCCAGGGUUUAUCUUCUGGAGCUGGAAGGCUCGGUGUCGGUCGUUCAGAUAACUGGGGUUUGGAUGAGCAUAUGGGUUUUAAGAAAUCAUGACACUGAGCAAUGGACUUUGGUUGAUAGAGUGCAUCUCCGGUGCAUCAGUGCGUUUGCUGCAAGCAUAUUUCCUGUGAGCCAGUCGAGAGAUGUUGCCUUCAUGGCGACGCAGAAGAAGAUUUUGAUAUACAACUUGAAGGGCAAGGUGUGGAAGGAGGUAUAUGGUGCAAAUGGAACUGUGACAUAUCCACUGUGGUUUUCAUCUUAUGGUUUCAGGAGCACACUUUUUCCUUGUCAUCUUUAAGCGACCAGAUUAUGCCAUGCGUUUGGUCAAUAUUGAGUUUCUCUUACUAAUCAACAAGUGAUAUGCAUGACAUAUUAUUGCCCAGAGAUUGUCACACAAGGCAUAGUCAUCAUCCAUAUGGGAAUAAAGGGUCUGUCCUGCUGAUGCGGCCGUGACAGUGGAAGAGUUCUUCGAGUGGUUGCAGAAUGCAAUGCAGUCCGGCAUGUUUGAAGCCAACAGCCAACAGCAUAGCAAAUGAGAGCCCUUCUCCCAGAAUUGGCAGUUGCUUCAAGAACAGCUUCUAACAAGAAGAAAGGUCCUAUGAAACCCUGUAAAAAACAUGACCACCUUAUCCUUUUAGCCAUAACAACACUCCUAAUCCUGCUUGAACAGAUGAUUACUUCGACCGGGACAAAGGAUUUUCUGGCUGUGCAACAAAGGAUGUCAAAGCAUCAUGAGACACUUUUCAGUGUUAGACAGUAUACAUGAAGUUGAUCUGUGUCAGACUAAUGAGUUGGCUUGUUUCUUUUUGAAGUCUGUAUUCAGAGCAAGUUGAAAUGUAUGGUCAUUGUAGACUUUGCCUGUGGUGAUGAUGGAAUAAGCAAUGAAGUAAUAGAGUGCAGUGAGAUCAGCUGCAAACAAAGUGUUUUUUGUUGUCAAAGAGCACAGAAAUCCAUCAAGAUGCAAAUGUUUUUUUGGUUUUGAUUUCAUGUACAAAUAAAUCCAAGCUAUAGGUAGGUUUUCACUGAACUUAAAUUUAAAUACAUGAGAAAUGUAGCACUCCACUAUGCAUCAACAAAUGCCAAAUCAUUAGAAGCACACUGUUUGGAAUGCUGUCAAAUCACUACAACCUUCUUUCGGUACUUAUAUAUUAGUUUCUCGCGUUAAAGAAUACUUGCAGCACUUAAUUAAGCACCCGAGUAAAGAGAGAGAGAGAGAGAGAGAGAGAGAGAGAGUUGUCGGCAUUCUCUGUGCAUGAUGUACAUCAUCACCGGCCCUUGUCAUCUGCAUCGACGACGCCUGCGGUGCCUGCGAGCAUCAAGUACUUGUCUUUCCGGGUGAGGCUGGUGCAGUGGAAGCCCAGAAGCCGUCCGAUCUCGCCUUGCAGAUGGUUGGCCAUCUGGUAGCUGCUGCAGACCUCACCGGCGAUGGAGCCGGUGGGCACCCUCCCCAUGAACUCCACCUCGUAGCACGGGAAGGGGUUCAUGAGGAAGAACAAGGGGUCCAGGAACUUGAGCUUGUUGGUGCUGGUGCCGUAGAACAUGGUGACCGAGGUCUCCGACGCCACCGGCGUGACCUCCCGGCUCACCUCCGUGAACAGUGGGCUGAACCGGAGCAGGUACGGCUCGCGGCACGUUGUCCCCUCGGGGCACACCACGACGAGUUCCCCUUCCUCGAGCAGCUGCUUCAUCCUCCUCUUGUCCUCCUCCCUGUUCCUCGUCAGCCGGACGGUCCUGAUGGGGGAGAUCCACUCGCUGAUGCGGCUGACGCUGUAGGUGGUGGCGGUGACGUUGCGGCGGAGGGCGGCGGCGAUGACGAGGGGGUCGAGGAGGGUGCGGUGGUUGGUGAUGUAGAGCCGGCUGCUCCUUGCCUCCUCCUCCUCCUCCUCCUCCUCCUCCUUGCGGGGGGAAGGAGAGGAGGUGACGACCCGGUUGCGCAUGCCAAGGAGGGCGAGCAAAGGGAUGGAGAGAACGUAGGGGAGGAGGAUGAAGCUGAGGGCGCGGGCGGAGGCGAGGAGGAAGCCGAGGGGGAGCCACACGAACAUGCACAGUGCGGCGAGCGGGGUCGGCCUGAAGGCGAUUCUGCCGUCGUGGAACACCAGCGGCUUCGGGUACUUGGAGCUUGGCAGCGGAUGCCACCUUCUCUUCUCGGCUUCGCUCACCGAGUACACUUCCUGAGACCAAAUCCCAAGUCAUGAAACGAGCACGUUUGGCUCGAGCCAUUUAUCUUACUAUAAAUUGGGUCCUUUUUAUCUUAUAUAAUGUGUUGCUGUGGAUAGCAUAGAUUUUGUUGACCGACCUCACAGUGGGAGAAGAGACGUUGCUUGCGAAGAGAAUUGGGAUAGCUUCCGAAUCCAACAGCCCCGCCUUUCCCCACCUUCUCAUCUCCGAGCAGCUCCUCCAAAGCCAAGCUUGCCUUCGUCUCCUCCUCCUCCUCCUCCACCAUCAACCCGGUGUAGUACCCGCCGAACACCUUCAACUCCCUCCCCAACACCACCUCCACGUCCAAAUACCCCUGCAGAAACUCUUCCACCAUUACGGUUGGCAUGGAGCUGACACACACCCUCCUCCCUCCUCUCCUCACCACCUCAAACCCUUCCAAACCAACCUCCUCCAGGAAGAACUUGGGCAGCACAGCUCUGCCAACCCUAAAUUUGUCCUUCCUCAGUCCUAGGAAGCACACCAUGACCAUGACCCUCAGCCCCACCUCAUGGCUCAGGCAAGAGAUCAGAGGGCACAGAAUCAAGAGGAGCAGCCCCCUCAAUAGCCCUCCUGCCUCCAGUGCCACCAGCAUGAAGUAUGGGAAGGUGGAGGAUGUCCUGAGGAGCCCUCCCUCCAUAUCACAAACUAUGGUUUUGCCGGACAGCUUUUCCGGCGGAGGAUGUUUCUGUGUCCUCCCAUAGCUUGCGUAGGAAGUCCUCAGCCUCCUUAUCGAGAACUUGUAGAUCAAGUAAAGGGACUUCAACAAGGACUUUGAAUUCAUCC
This is an RNA transcript of Musa acuminata AAA Group (dessert banana), 3886 nucleotides long. It is a transcript of the gene named F-box protein At5g49610-like, with no coding region annotated. Lineage: Eukaryota; Viridiplantae; Streptophyta; Magnoliopsida; Zingiberales; Musaceae. The record is from RefSeq and is a predicted model, not a curated record. The transcript is spliced from 3 exons.